This 255-nucleotide ribosomal RNA is filed under the name uncultured bacterium. Its description in RNAcentral is "partial 16S ribosomal RNA". It matches the Rfam family "Bacterial small subunit ribosomal RNA", at positions 74 to 334 of the family's 1533-position model. The record is from RNAcentral.
CAAACCAAAGCUGGCGACCGGCGCACGGGUGAGUAACACGUAUCCAACCUGCCUCAUACUCGGGGAUAGCCUUUCGAAAGAAAGAUUAAUAUCCGAUAGCAUAUAUUUCCCGCAUGGGUUUUAUAUUAAAGAAAUUCGGUAUGAGAUGGGGAUGCGUUCCAUUAGUUUGUUGGGGGGGUAACGGCCCACCAAGACUACGAUGGAUAGGGGUUCUGAGAGGAAGGUCCCCCACAUUGAAACUGAGACACGGUCCAA